This 1381-nucleotide ribosomal RNA is filed under the name Klebsiella pneumoniae. RNAcentral's name for it is "partial 23S ribosomal RNA". It matches the Rfam family "Bacterial large subunit ribosomal RNA", at positions 231 to 1656 of the family's 2925-position model. Lineage: Bacteria; Pseudomonadati; Pseudomonadota; Gammaproteobacteria; Enterobacterales; Enterobacteriaceae. The record is from RNAcentral.
GAGAUUCCCCCAGUAGCGGCGAGCGAACGGGGAGCAGCCCAGAGUCUGAAUCAGCUUGUGUGUUAGUGGAACGGUCUGGAAAGUCCGACGGUACAGGGUGAUAGUCCCGUACACCAAAAUGCACAGGCUGUGAACUCGAAGAGUAGGGCGGGACACGUGGUAUCCUGUCUGAAUAUGGGGGGACCAUCCUCCAAGGCUAAAUACUCCUGACUGACCGAUAGUGAACCAGUACCGUGAGGGAAAGGCGAAAAGAACCCCGGCGAGGGGAGUGAAAAAGAACCUGAAACCGUGUACGUACAAGCAGUGGGAGCACCUUCGGGUGUGACUGCGUACCUUUUGUAUAAUGGGUCAGCGACUUAUAUUCUGUAGCAAGGUUAACCGUAUAGGGGAGCCGCAGGGAAACCGAGUCUUAACUGGGCGUUAAGUUGCAGGGUAUAGACCCGAAACCCGGUGAUCUAGCCAUGGGCAGGUUGAAGGUUGGGUAACACUAACUGGAGGACCGAACCGACUAAUGUUGAAAAAUUAGCGGAUGACUUGUGGCUGGGGGUGAAAGGCCAAUCAAACCGGGAGAUAGCUGGUUCUCCCCGAAAGCUAUUUAGGUAGCGCCUCGUGAACUCAUCUUCGGGGGUAGAGCACUGUUUCGGCUAGGGGGUCAUCCCGACUUACCAACCCGAUGCAAACUACGAAUACCGAAGAAUGUUAUCACGGGAGACACACGGCGGGUGCUAACGUCCGUCGUGAAGAGGGAAACAACCCAGACCGCCAGCUAAGGUCCCAAAGUCAUGGUUAAGUGGGAAACGAUGUGGGAAGGCACAGACAGCCAGGAUGUUGGCUUAGAAGCAGCCAUCAUUUAAAGAAAGCGUAAUAGCUCACUGGUCGAGUCGGCCUGCGCGGAAGAUGUAACGGGGCUAAACCAUGCACCGAAGCUGCGGCAGCGACACUAUGUGUUGUUGGGUAGGGGAGCGUUCUGUAAGCCUGCGAAGGUGUGCUGUGAGGGUUGCUGGAGGUAUCAGAAGUGCGAAUGCUGACAUAAGUAACGAUAAAGCGGGUGAAAAGCCCGCUCGCCGGAAGACCAAGGGUUCCUGUCCAACGUUAAUCGGGGCAGGGUGAGUCGACCCCUAAGGCGAGGCCGAAAGGCGUAGUCGAUGGGAAACAGGUUAAUAUUCCUGUACUUGGUGUUACUGCGAAGGGGGGACGGAGAAGGCUAUGUUAGCCGGGCGACGGUUGUCCCGGUUUAAGCAUGUAGGCUGGUUGUCCAGGCAAAUCCGGAUAAUCAAGGCUGAGGUGUGAUGACGAGGCACUACGGUGCUGAAGUAACAAAUGCCCUGCUUCCAGGAAAAGCCUCUAAGCAUCAGGUAACAUCAAAUCGUACCCCAAACCG